RNAcentral lists this ribosomal RNA (425 nucleotides) under uncultured bacterium. Its description in RNAcentral is "partial 16S ribosomal RNA". It matches the Rfam family "Bacterial small subunit ribosomal RNA", at positions 354 to 796 of the family's 1533-position model. The record is from RNAcentral.
GUGGGGAAUCUUAGACAAUGGGCGCAAGCCUGAUCCAGCCAUGCCGCGUGAGUGAUGAAGGCCUUAGGGUUGUAAAGCUCUUUUGUCCGGGAAGAUAAUGACUGUACCGGAAGAAUAAGCCCCGGCUAACUUCGUGCCAGCAGCCGCGGUAAUACGAAGGGGGCUAGCGUUGCUCGGAAUCACUGGGCGUAAAGGGCGCGUAGGCGGACUUUUAAGUCGGAGGUGAAAGCCCAGGGCUCAACCCUGGAAUUGCCUUCGAUACUGGGAGUCUUGAGUUCGGAAGAGGUUGGUGGAACUGCGAGUGUAGAGGUGAAAUUCGUAGAUAUUCGCAAGAACACCGGUGGCGAAGGCGGCCAACUGGUCCGAAACUGACGCUGAGGCGCGAAAGCGUGGGGAGCAAACAGGAUUAGAUACCCUGGUAGUCC